This 21-nucleotide non-coding RNA is filed under the name Rattus norvegicus (Norway rat). Lineage: Eukaryota; Metazoa; Chordata; Mammalia; Rodentia; Muridae. The record is from RNAcentral.
UCCUUAGAUGGCAGGGACAUU